This is a small nuclear RNA of Antechinus flavipes (yellow-footed antechinus), 106 nucleotides long. NCBI's taxonomy places the organism in Eukaryota, Metazoa, Chordata, Mammalia, Dasyuromorphia, Dasyuridae. The record is from RefSeq and is a predicted model, not a curated record.
AUACUUCAGUAGUUAGUUCACGUGUUAAAAGUGGAAAGAUACAGAGAAGAUUGGAAGGGCCUCUGCACAAUUAUAAAACACUUAUUAGGAAACAUUCUAUAUUUUA